UACGAAGGGGACAAGCGUUGUUCGGAAUUACUGGGCGUAAAGGGCGCGUAGGCGGCUUAUCAAGUCAGGCGUGAAAUUCCCGGGCUCAACCUGGGGGCUGCGCUUGAUACUGAUUGGCUUGAAUGCGGGAGAGGAUAGUGGAAUUCCCAGUGUAGGGGUGAAAUCCGUAGAUAUUCGGAGGAACACCAGUGGCGAAGGCGGCUUCCUGGACCAAUACUGACGCUGAGACGCGAAAGCGUGGGGAGCAAACAGG
RNAcentral lists this ribosomal RNA (253 nucleotides) under uncultured bacterium. RNAcentral's name for it is "partial 16S ribosomal RNA". It matches the Rfam family "Bacterial small subunit ribosomal RNA", at positions 524 to 776 of the family's 1533-position model. The record is from RNAcentral.